GAUGAACGCUGACAGAAUGCUUAACACAUGCAAGUCGAUGGGGAAGUGGUGCUUGCCCCGUGGCAACCUUGGCGGACGGGUGAGUAACGCGUAAGGGACUUACCUGCAGGACUGGGAUAACAGGGGGAAACUCCUGACAAGACCGGAUAAUGUCAUGGAGCUGCAUGGCUUUGUGAUGAAAGGAGACGCCUGCGGAGAGCCUUGCGUCCUAUUAGCUAGUUGGUGAGGUAAUGGCUCACCAAGGCGAAGAUAGGUAGCCGGCCUGAGAGGGUGGACGGCCACAAGGGGGCUGAGAUACGGCCGUUACUACUACGGGAGGCAGCAGUGGGGAAUAUUGGACAAUGGGGGCAACCAUGAUGCAGCAGUUCUGUGUGCACGAAGAAGGUUUUCGGAGUGUAAAGUGCUUUCAGCAGGGAAGAAGUAAGUGACGGUACCUGGAGAAGAAGCGACGGCUAAAUACGUG
This 463-nucleotide ribosomal RNA is filed under the name uncultured bacterium. RNAcentral's name for it is "partial 16S ribosomal RNA". It matches the Rfam family "Bacterial small subunit ribosomal RNA", at positions 28 to 507 of the family's 1533-position model. The record is from RNAcentral.